GAUGAACGCUAGCGGCAGGCUUAAUACAUGCAAGUCGAGGGGCAGCACGAAUAGCAAUAUUUGGUGGCGACCGGCAAACGGGUGCGGAACACGUACGCAACCUUCCUUUAAGUGGAGAAUAGCCCGGGGGAAACCCGGAUUAAUACUCCGUAACAUUAUAAAGUGGCAUCACUUAGUAAUUAUAGAUUUAUCGCUUAAAGAUGGGCGUGCGCCUGAUUAGGUAGUUGGCGGAGUAAUAGCCCACCAAGCCUGCGAUCAGUAACUGGUGUGAGAGCACGACCAGUCACACGGGCACUGAGACACGGGCCCGACUCCUACGGGAGGCAGCAGUAAGGAAUAUUGGUCAAUGGACGCAAGUCUGAACCAGCCAUGCCGCGU
This 378-nucleotide ribosomal RNA is filed under the name uncultured bacterium. Its description in RNAcentral is "bacterial SSU rRNA". It matches the Rfam family "Bacterial small subunit ribosomal RNA", at positions 28 to 402 of the family's 1533-position model. The record is from RNAcentral.